Molecule: ribosomal RNA, 490 nt
Filed under: uncultured bacterium
Lineage: Bacteria
Description: partial 16S ribosomal RNA
Rfam family: Bacterial small subunit ribosomal RNA
Source: RNAcentral
AGUGAACGCUGGCGGUAGGCCUAACACAUGCAAGUCGAACGGCAGCACAGGAGAGCUUGCUCUCUAGGUGGCGAGUGGCGGACGGGUGAGGAAUACAUCGGAAUCUGCCCAGUCGUGGGGGAUAACGUAGGGAAACUUACGCUAAUACCGCAUACGACCUUCGGGUGAAAGAGGGGGAUCGCAAGACCUCUCGCGAUUGGAUGAGCCGAUGUCGGAUUAGCUAGUUAGCGGGGUAAUGGCCCACCAAGGCGACGAUCCGUAGCUGGUCUGAGAGGAUGAUCAGCCACACUGGAACUGAGACACGGUCCAGACUUCUACGGGAGGCAGCAGUGGGGAAUAUUGGACAAUGGGCGCAAGCCUGAUCCAGCCAUACCGCGUGGGUGAAGAAGGCCUUCGGGUUGUAAAGCCCUUUUGUUGGGAAAGAAAUCUUUCAGGCUAAUACCCUGGGAGGAUGACGGUACCCAAAGAAUAAGCACCGGCUAACUUCGUG